CUAAUGUUUUUGCAAGAUGGUACACAUAUCGUUGUUUGUUCAAUCUUUGUUUGUAAGGGAGAUGUUAUGUCUUGUAUGUAGAUGUCCCCCCAAAGCCUCAUGUGGUCACAGGUAGAGAUUUUCAGAGGUGUCUGGACGUAGGAUGUGUGCUGCUGGGAUCAAAAAUGUGCCGCUGGGACUGACUCAAGCAAACCUAAUGCAGGAAAACUUCGGCAACAUCAAGUUUAUGCAGUUAGAGUCUACUGAUUGGAUACCACGCAGGCACAGGAAAAGAACAUGUGAAGGAUCCUAUCAGCCUAAAGAAUCACUGUCAGCCUCCCUACGCUAGCAGGACUUCCAGACCAAUGCUGAACAGCAGUGACAAGAAGUUACUUUCUUCUCAUGUCUAAUCUUGGGUCCCCAGAAUCCAAGGAACACUGUCUACUGAUAAAUCGC
RNAcentral lists this long non-coding RNA (435 nucleotides) under Heterocephalus glaber (naked mole-rat). RNAcentral's name for it is "lncRNA (ENSHGLG00000037054.1)". The record is from RNAcentral. Lineage: Eukaryota; Metazoa; Chordata; Mammalia; Rodentia; Bathyergidae.